RNAcentral lists this ribosomal RNA (253 nucleotides) under uncultured bacterium. Its description in RNAcentral is "partial 16S ribosomal RNA". It matches the Rfam family "Bacterial small subunit ribosomal RNA", at positions 524 to 776 of the family's 1533-position model. The record is from RNAcentral.
UACAGAGGGUGCGAGCGUUAAUCGGAAUUACUGGGCGUAAAGCGUGCGUAGGCGGCUAUCUAAGUCGGGUGUGAAAGCCCCGGGCUCAACCUGGGAAUUGCAUUCGAGACUGAAUAGCUAGAGUACGGUAGAGGGAAGCGGAAUUUCCGGUGUAGCGGUGAAAUGCGUAGAUAUCGGAAGGAACAUCAGUGGCGAAAGCGGCUUCCUGGACCAGUACCGACGUUCAGGCACGAAAGCGUGGGGAGCAAACAGG